GAUGAACGCUGGCGGCGUACCUAAUACAUGCAAGUCGAGCGAACAGAUAAGGAGCUUGCUCCUUUGACGUUAGCGGCGGACGGGUGAGUAACACGUGGGUAACCUACCUAUAAGACUGGAAUAACUCCGGGAAACCGGGGCUAAUGCCGGAUAACAUUUAGAACCGCAUGGUUCUAAAGUGAAAGAUGGUUUUGCUAUCACUUAUAGAUGGACCCGCGCCGUAUUAGCUAGUUGGUAAGGUAACGGCUUACCAAGGCAACGAUACGUAGCCGACCUGAGAGGGUGAUCGGCCACACUGGAACUGAGACACGGUCCAGACUCCUACGGGGGGCAGCAGUAGGGAAUCUUCCGCAAUGGGCGAAAGCCUGACGGAGCAACGCCGCGUGAGUGAUGAAGGUCUUCGGAUCGUAAAACUCUGUUAUUAGGGAAGAACAAAUGUGUAAGUAACUGUGCACGUCUUGACGGUACCUAAUCAGAAAGCCACGGCUAACUACGUG
This 497-nucleotide ribosomal RNA is filed under the name uncultured bacterium. RNAcentral describes it as "partial 16S ribosomal RNA". It matches the Rfam family "Bacterial small subunit ribosomal RNA", at positions 28 to 507 of the family's 1533-position model. The record is from RNAcentral.